This 496-nucleotide ribosomal RNA is filed under the name uncultured bacterium. RNAcentral's name for it is "partial 16S ribosomal RNA". It matches the Rfam family "Bacterial small subunit ribosomal RNA", at positions 28 to 506 of the family's 1533-position model. The record is from RNAcentral.
GAUGAACGCUGGCGGCGUGCCUAAUACAUGCAAGUCGAGCGAACAGACGAGGAGCUUGCUCCUCUGACGUUAGCGGCGGACGGGUGAGUAACACGUGGAUAACCUACCUAUAAGACUGGGAUAACUUCGGGAAACCGGAGCUAAUACCGGAUAAUAUAUUGAACCGCAUGGUUCAAUAGUGAAAGACGGUUUUGCUGUCACUUAUAGAUGGAUCCGCGCCGCAUUAGCUAGUUGGUAAGGUAACGGCUUACCAAGGCGACGAUGCGUAGCCGACCUGAGAGGGUGAUCGGCCACCCUGGAACUGAGACACGGUCCAGACUCCUACGGGAGGCAGCAGUAGGGAAUCUUCCGCAAUGGGCGAAAGCCUGACGGAGCAACGCCGCGUGAGUGAUGAAGGUCUUCGGAUCGUAAAACUCUGUUAUUAGGGAAGAACAAAUGUGUAGGUAACUAUGCACGUCUUGACGGUACCUAAUCAGAAAGCCACGGCUAACUACGU